UCAACAAUCUAAUCCGGUCCGGACGGCUAGACGGACGACCAUCGGAUGUUAAUCCAACGGCUUGCAAAACUGGAGCCACGUCGCGGCCGUCGUCCCGCGCUCUCGGCGGUCAUCGUCGGCCCCAUCACAAAACUUAAGGGCCAAACAACCAACCAAGGGCGGAGAAGCAGCGCGGGCAAUACAACAAGCAGGUAGAAGAAAGAGCAAGUGCGCCGAGAGAGAUCAAGAAGAUGGGUUGGAUCGGCGGAAACUUGGAGUCUAUUCGAUCUCUCCAGACGAAGCAAGCCCUCACCCAAGCUGUUAACCUCGGUCUGGUUGUUACAUCGGCAUUGAUAUUAUGGAGGGGAUUGAUGUGUGUUACCGGGACGGAGUCGCCUGUUGUGGUUGUUCUUUCUGGAAGCAUGGAACCUGGCUUUCAGAGGGGUGAUAUUCUAUUCUUGCACAUGAAUCAGGACCCUAUUCGUGCUGGUGAAAUAGUUGUAUUUAAUGUUGAUGGAAAAGACAUUCCCAUUGUUCAUCGUGUAAUUGAAGUCCAUGAGCGGCAAGACACAGGAGAAGUUGAUGUUCUCACAAAAGUGAACAGUUACAUUUAUGGGUUUGAACAUCAGGAGAUAAUAAUGAAGAAGAUGAUAGGCUUCUUUAUCCUUACGGUCAGCUUUGGCUUCAGAAGCAUCAUAUCACAGGGCGAGCUAUAGGAGUUUUGCCAUAUGUUGGAUGGGUUACCAUUAUCAUGAAUGAGAAGCCAGUUAUUAAGUACUUAAUCAUUGGUGCAUUGGGAUUGAUGAUUAUGACAUCAAAGGAGUAGAAAUGUUGCAGGGGAAUCAGAACUGCAUUCAACUAUCCAACACUUCAAUUUUUAGUCAACAGCAAUUUGUGAGACUCCUUUUCAUCUUUUACAUUGCUUGUCAUUUGAUUAUUUUUUUUAAUAAAUCAAAUUCAGGAGCGUUAUGCCUUAAAUUUUUACGA
RNA transcript from Phoenix dactylifera (date palm), 966 nucleotides. RefSeq lists it as uncharacterized. The record is from RefSeq and is a predicted model, not a curated record. NCBI's taxonomy places the organism in Eukaryota, Viridiplantae, Streptophyta, Magnoliopsida, Arecales, Arecaceae.